CGCAAGGGGAGCGGCAGACGGGUGAGUAACGCGUGGGAAUCUACCUUUUGCUACGGAAUAACGCAGGGAAACUUGUGCUAAUACCGUAUGUGUCCUUCGGGAGAAAGAUUUAUCGGCAAGAGAUGAGCCCGCGUUGGAUUAGCUAGUUGGUGGGGUAAAGGCCUACCAAGGCGACGAUCCAUAGCUGGUCUGAGAGGAUGAUCAGCCACAUUGGGACUGAGACACGGCCCAAACUCCUACGGGAGGCAGCAGUGGGGAAUAUUGGACAAUGGGCGCAAGCCUGAUCCAGCCAUGCCGCGUGAGUGAUGAAGGCCCUAGGGUUGUAAAGCUCUUUCACCGGAGAAGAUAAUGACGGUAUCCGGAGAAGAAGCCCCGGCUAACUUCGUGCCAGCAGCCGCGGUAA
This 403-nucleotide ribosomal RNA is filed under the name uncultured Hyphomicrobiales bacterium. Its description in RNAcentral is "bacterial SSU rRNA". It matches the Rfam family "Bacterial small subunit ribosomal RNA", at positions 85 to 523 of the family's 1533-position model. The record is from RNAcentral. Lineage: Bacteria; Pseudomonadati; Pseudomonadota; Alphaproteobacteria; Hyphomicrobiales.